RNAcentral lists this unclassified non-coding RNA (341 nucleotides) under soil metagenome. RNAcentral's name for it is "partial contains 5.8S ribosomal RNA, internal transcribed spacer 2, and large subunit ribosomal RNA". The stretch from base 1 to 120 matches the Rfam family "5.8S ribosomal RNA", at positions 35 to 154 of the family's 154-position model. The record is from RNAcentral.
GAUGAAGAACGCAGCGAAAUGCGAUAAGUAGUGUGAAUUGCAGAAUUCAGUGAAUCAUCGAAUCUUUGAACGCACAUUGCGCCCUUUGGUAUUCCAAAGGGCAUGCCUGUUCGAGCGUCAUUUGUACCCUCAAGCUUUGCUUGGUGUUGGGCGUCUUGUCUCUAGCUUUGCUGGAGACUCGCCUUAAAGUAAUUGGCAGCCGGCCUACUGGUUUCGGAGCGCAGCACAAGUCGCACUCUCUAUCAGCAAAGGUCUAGCAUCCAUUAAGCCUUUUUUUCAACUUUUGACCUCGGAUCAGGUAGGGAUACCCGCUGAAGUUAAGCAUAUCAAUAAGCGGAGGA